GACGAACGCUGGCGGCGUGCUUAACACAUGCAAGUCGAACGGAAAGGCCCUGCUUUUGUGGGGUGCUCGAGUGGCGAACGGGUGAGUAACACGUGAGUAACCUGCCCUUGACUUUGGGAUAACUUCAGGAAACUGGGGCUAAUACCGGAUAGGAGCUCCUGCUGCAUGGUGGGGGUUGGAAAGUUUCGGCGGUUGGGGAUGGACUCGCGGCUUAUCAGCUUGUUGGUGGGGUAGUGGCUUACCAAGGCUUUGACGGGUAGCCGGCCUGAGAGGGUGACCGGGGAAGGUGGGAGUGAGAAUGGGACAAGAGGGAGAAGGGGGGGAGGAGGGGGGGAGGGGGUAAGAUGGGCUGACGACUGAGGAAGCACGGACGAGGGAGGGGUGAGGGGGUGGGUGUUGUGAAAAGGUGUAGCGGGUGACAAAGAGUGAGUGACGGUAAUGGGGAAAGAAGAGAAGGAGAACUAGGUG
This 468-nucleotide ribosomal RNA is filed under the name uncultured bacterium. Its description in RNAcentral is "partial 16S ribosomal RNA". The stretch from base 20 to 332 matches the Rfam family "Bacterial small subunit ribosomal RNA", at positions 47 to 358 of the family's 1533-position model. The record is from RNAcentral.